GUGCCAGCCGCCGCGGUAAUACGUAGGGGGCAAGCGUUGUCCGGAUUUACUGGGUGUAAAGGGUGCUCAGGUGGAUUUGUUAGUCGGAGGUGAAACUCCGGAGCUUAACUCCGGAACUGCCUCCGAAACAGCAAGUCUUGAGUUUGGUAGAGGAUGAUGGAAUAUCUGGUGUAGCAGUGAAAUGCGUAGAUAUCAGAUAGAACACCAAUGGCGAAGGCAGUCAUCUGGGCCAUAACUGACACUAAAGCACGAAAGCGUGGGGAUCAAACAGGAUUAGAUACCCUGGUAGUCCACGCCCUAAACGAUGAGUACUAGAUGUUGGUCCCAUAGGGGUCAGUAUCCAAGCUAACGCAUUAAGUACUCCACCUGGGAAGUACGAUCGCAAGGUUGAAACUCAAAUGAAUUGACGGGG
RNAcentral lists this ribosomal RNA (412 nucleotides) under uncultured Planctomycetota bacterium. RNAcentral's name for it is "bacterial SSU rRNA". It matches the Rfam family "Bacterial small subunit ribosomal RNA", at positions 505 to 918 of the family's 1533-position model. The record is from RNAcentral. Lineage: Bacteria; Pseudomonadati; Planctomycetota.